RNAcentral lists this transfer RNA (85 nucleotides) under Felis catus (domestic cat). It matches the Rfam family "tRNA". From Rfam's summary of the family: Transfer RNA (tRNA) molecules are approximately 80 nucleotides in length. Their secondary structure includes four short double-helical elements and three loops (D, anti-codon, and T loops). Further hydrogen bonds mediate the characteristic L-shaped molecular structure. tRNAs have two regions of fundamental functional importance: the anti-codon, which is responsible for specific mRNA codon recognition, and the 3' end, to which the tRNAs corresponding amino acid is attached (by aminoacyl-tRNA synthetases). tRNAs cope with the degeneracy of the genetic code in two manners: having more than one tRNA (with a specific anti-codon) for a particular amino acid; and 'wobble' base-pairing, i.e. permitting non-standard base-pairing at the 3rd anti-codon position. The record is from Rfam by way of RNAcentral. Lineage: Eukaryota; Metazoa; Chordata; Mammalia; Carnivora; Felidae.
GCCUGGGUGGCUCAGUCGGUUGAGCAGCUGACUUCCACCCAGGUCAUGAUCUCGCGGCUCGCGAGUUCGAGCCCCGCAUCAGGCU